CCUACGGGUGGCAGCAGUGGGGAAUAUUGGGCAAUGGGCGCAAGCCUGACCCAGCAACGCCGCGUGAAGGAAGAAGGCUUUCGGGUUGUAAACUUCUUUUGUCAGGGACGAAGCUAGUGACGGUACCUGACGCAUACGCUACCGCUAACGACGUGCCAGCAGCCGCGGUAAUACGUAGGAGGCAAGCGUUAUCCGGAUUUACUGGGUGUAAAGGGCGGGUAGGCGGGGCUGCAAGUCAGAUGUGAAAACCACGGGCUCAACCUGUGGCCUGCAUUUGAAACUGGAGUUCUUGAGUGCUGGAGAGGCAGACGGAAUUCCUAGUGUAGCGGUGAAAUGCGUAGAUAUUUGGAGGAACACCAGUGGCGAAGGCGGUCGGCUGGACAGCAACUGACGCUGAGGCGCGAAAGCGUGGGGAGCAAACAGGAUUAGAUACCCUUGUAGUC
This 443-nucleotide ribosomal RNA is filed under the name uncultured bacterium. Its description in RNAcentral is "partial 16S ribosomal RNA". It matches the Rfam family "Bacterial small subunit ribosomal RNA", at positions 338 to 795 of the family's 1533-position model. The record is from RNAcentral.